RNAcentral lists this ribosomal RNA (253 nucleotides) under uncultured bacterium. Its description in RNAcentral is "partial 16S ribosomal RNA". It matches the Rfam family "Bacterial small subunit ribosomal RNA", at positions 524 to 776 of the family's 1533-position model. The record is from RNAcentral.
UACAGGGGGUGCAAACGUUGCUCGGAAUCAUUGGGCGUAAAGCGCACGUAGGCGGUUCGUUAUGUCGGAUGUGAAAGCCCUUGGCUUAACCGAGGAAGUGCAUCCGAAACUGGCGAGCUAGAGUACUAAAGAGGAUCGCGGAAUUCCCGGUGUAGAGGUGAAAUUCGUAGAUAUCGGGAGGAACACCGGUGGCGAAGGCGGCCAACUGGCCCGAUACUGACGCUCAUGUGCGAAGGCGUGGGGAGCAAACAGG